Molecule: ribosomal RNA, 465 nt
Filed under: uncultured bacterium
Lineage: Bacteria
Description: partial 16S ribosomal RNA
Rfam family: Bacterial small subunit ribosomal RNA
Source: RNAcentral
CCUACGGGGUGCAGCAGUGGGGAAUAUUGCGCAAUGGGCGAAAGCCUGACGCAGCGACGCCGCGUGAGGGAUGAAGGUCUUCGGAUCGUAAACCUCUGUCAGCAGGGAAGAACGGUCACUGUGCUAAUCAGCAGUGAAUUGACGGUACCUGCAAAGGAAGCACCGGCUAACUCCGUGCCAGCAGCCGCGGUAAUACGGAGGGUGCGAGCGUUAAUCGGAAUUACUGGGCGUAAAGCGCUCGUAGGCGGUAUGUCAAGUCAAGGGUGAAAUCCCCGCGCUCAACGUGGGAACUGCCUUUGAAACUGGCAAACUGGAGUGUGUGAGAGGAUAGUGGAAUUCCAGGUGUAGGAGUGAAAUCCGUAGAUAUCUGGAGGAACAUCAGUGGCGAAGGCGACUAUCUGGAACAUAACUGACGCUGAUGAGCGAAAGCGUGGGUAGCAAACAGGAUUAGAUACCCUUGUAGUC